Molecule: long non-coding RNA, 436 nt
Filed under: Oryctolagus cuniculus (rabbit)
Lineage: Eukaryota; Metazoa; Chordata; Mammalia; Lagomorpha; Leporidae
Description: lncRNA (ENSOCUG00000006598.3)
Source: RNAcentral
UAUUCGAUCCCAAUAUUUCACCAAUAUAGAACCUGGUAGUUUUUGAAAUUAGCAAGGAUGUGCUUGAUUUGUUCUGCAGCCCCUGUCAUAAAAAGAUUUUACUCUCUCUGGUCUCUGUUCUUCAAGUUUGCCUUUGAUUGAUUUCAUGUAAUCUUUGAUGUACUUCUUGUAGGCUUCUUUUGUGAAGCUGGUUUCCUGCAGGUGAUGGUUCAUGACAAUAUCAACACCAGUGAUCACUGUGCUUUCGGUACCUUCGCCCUCCGGGCCUUCGGCGGAGGCAUUCCCACCGAUGAGCGAAUCAUCAAUGUUACCCUCUGUCCUACUGACCAUGGCUGAUGAGGUCCCGGUAGAUAAUCAUGAUGGCGGCUGGUAGGAGACGACAGCGGCGGCGCUAGCUUGGCAGGAGCCCGGAGCUCAGAGCGAGCGCGGUGCAGCC